AAGGACAAGAGGACAUAAGCAGAAAAAUUCAGGAUGAAUAAAUGAAUAAAUGAUGACAGAAUUUUAAAUUCUGGGUAACUAUCUCUUAAAAAAAAAGUAUAAAGAGAGAAAUAGGCUGCAGGAGAAGAAAAACACAAGAAGGGGAAGGUGAAACACACUGCACAAAGACUAUGAGAGGAAGAAAAGUGGGUGAAACGAAGGGGCGUGAGAGAACGAGCGACUGAAAGACGGGAAUCAUCAGACUGGAGUGGAUGGGACCUGAAGGACAUUGACGUCCCCUCUCAACUCAACCGCACUCCAUCCACAUCCUACAUCUGUCUAUUCAACACCAUCAUCAAGCACAGGGAAUCAAUGACAC
This is a long non-coding RNA of Cyprinus carpio carpio, 358 nucleotides long. NCBI's taxonomy places the organism in Eukaryota, Metazoa, Chordata, Actinopteri, Cypriniformes, Cyprinidae. The record is from Ensembl.